Molecule: long non-coding RNA, 2927 nt
Organism: Mus musculus (house mouse)
Lineage: Eukaryota; Metazoa; Chordata; Mammalia; Rodentia; Muridae
Product: predicted gene, 30104
Exons: 2
Source: RefSeq, a predicted model, not a curated record
GUUUUUUCCUUUCCAUAUUUUAUUAGGAGAAAAAAAAAAACAGAGAAAACUUGCCAGACUUCUAUAGCCAGGUCCAUGGGCCCAUCAUCUAGAACCUUGCCUCAGUUUUACAUCUCUUAGACAUGCCUCCCCACUGCCCACGCCCUGGCUGCCCACCAGCCCUCAUGUCUGGAUGGAUUUCAAAGCAAUGAACAGUCAUUCAUCUCUGUCCAGGCCUACUCUUUAGCACCGGAUCACUGACCCACGGUGGUCAGCAAUUUUCACAGCUAUUUUGAGGUGAGUUUUAUUCAUAAUGAAAUACACCAUUCUGCCGUGCAGGACCAUAUAUACCCAAUUCUGUUGCACACCUACCCUGGGCUAACUCAAGCACCCACACAGACUAUAAAUGGGGAGUUUCCUGGGAACCCCUUCUGAUAAACCCCUAUCCCAGCCUUAUAUCACAACAGUUCUGAGAUUUUUCCUCUCUCUGCUCUAGUUACAGCUGCUCUGUAACUUCAUUGACACAAGUAAAAUCUUACAAUGUGUGUUUUUGCAAGGGUUUUCCCUUAACAUGUGGGGUCUGUCUCUAAGAAAAAAUUUGCUGUGUGCAAGUCUUUUUUUUUUUUUUCUUAACUUUUUAAUGAUCUAAAAGGCUUUUUUGUUUUGUUUUGAUUUUGUAGUUAUUAAGGAUGGAACCCACGGCCUUAUACAAGUGCUUCACCAGUGGGCUAUCUCUCUAACCCAGACACUAUUCGUAACCACCUAGCACUAUAUCCCCCAAUAUACUCUCUAUUAACUAAGGAAAGGAUGUGGCCAGUGCCUGUGUGCCCACAGGCUUGUCGUCCUGGACCCACUCAAGCUGGCUGAUAGGCCCUGUGAGUUCCCCCGACACCUCCUCAGGAGAGGAAGUAUGGACAGUCCCCACAGGUCCCAAGGCAUAGUUCACCACUCUCGGGGGACACAAAGUUCUUUAAGAGAUGUCACAGAUUUUAAUCACCCCCCCCAGACUCAAACCCUGGGAGUACCAAAGGCUUCACGCUCUGAUGCUGUGGAGGUGACCUAGGAGGUGACAAUCACAGCGUGCCCACUUUGGAAUAGUAAGUGACUAAGUAAAAAUGCAGAAGUAAAUGUAUCGGAAAACCCAAAGGAAUCAACUAGAAAACCUCCCUACUCUAAAUAACAAGGGCUGGGGAAGGGCAGAGGGGAGGGCGGGCCAAUUCAAGGAGCUACGCCAUCAUCAUCAUUGAAUAUUACUCAAGAAGGCCUACGCAAGAAGUAUCCUCUCCACACACACCCAGGUUUCUCUGUGCUAAGCCACCUCUCCUGGCCUCCCCCUCCUCCCUCUUUCCCUUCUGUCCAUUCUUCUCCCCUCUCCCAUUCCCAAUGCCUUCCCUGUCUCUACUACCCGCUUCUGCCCCCUCUGCCCUCCCACCCUCCUCUCCCCUUUCCAGUCUCUAGGGGACACUUUUGGGGGAGGGGCUUGGGUUCUUUGGACUACACACAUCCUGCCUAGGGUGCGGGCCAUAGCUUCUCCUAGACCUUUUAGCUGCUGGCAGAAAGUGAGAAAUGGCUUGAGAGGCCCCAAAUGUGGCUCUUAGCACAUCCCUCAUGGAAAGGGCAGGUUACUCCCGUCAGAACUUGGACCGUGGGCGGGUGGGAGAGAGUCUGGCCAUCAGGCUGGGUGCUGUUGAGAGCCACCCUACAAUAACCUAAGAUUUCAGGCUGGGCUCUGCCCUGCAAGACUUCAUUUUAUAAAACAGUUGUUUGUUCCAUUCUGAGUGCCUGUGUCAAGGCAGAAUGACUCUAUAUUUUGUUUAUGCUAAGUAAACAGCCGCUAUCAGUCCUCCAUAGGUCACAAGGCCCAGACUGAUAAUAAUGUAUUUACUUAAAUAAAUAUUCCCACCUGACACCUUAUCAAGUUAACUCAGGAGCACAUGAGUACAUGGAUACAUCACAGCCAUGCCAGGGAGCUAGGCUGAAGCCAUCAGGUACACAGGACACACCAACCAACACGGUGCAACUCCUCCUUUGGAUCAUGGGAAAGGAGUGGUAUCUCACUAUGGUGCAACCAUACCCGCCUGCGGGUCAUCGGACCCUCUGGUGCACGUGUCAUGGGAUCCAUAUGAUUCCAGUGAUUGACAGAUAGCAGAGUCCACUUCCAUCUCUGGAGCUGCAGCCCUACACGAUAGAUAGUAUUGCUUGAUAAGUUCCAUUUAAGUCACCUGGCAACUGCAGUUAGUCUGGACUUGGUUGCCCCAAGCAACCUAGUCCUUUGUGGUCUGUCCUUGCAUAGCUCUGUGGCUGGGCUGUGUUCCACCACUGCAGUGACCCCUCUGCUCCUGCUCAGCUCUCCGUCCUGCCUUCAGUAAGACUGCUUUAGACCGGUUGUACUUUAACCAUUUCUGAACCACCCUCUAACCCACAUAUGAACCCAGCGUGAACUGUAACAUAUAAUCUGAGAGCUGAGAUUAGUCAUUAAGAUCGAAAUAAAAGAACCUGUGGUUUCAGGAGCUGUAAAUACCACGCAAGGUUAGGAGUACUGGUAAAUUAAAGUCAAGGAAAUGGACAUAAUGUGAAUUUAUUGCCUUUCAGCAGAUUCUGACACUCUGGAAGGGCACAAAUGUCUCUGCUUCUGACAGUUCUCUCAUGACAGGGUACCCUGCUCCCGGAGAGACCACUGAGCUGUGGAAAGCUUGCUUUGAAAACUGCUCAGAGUGAAGGAAUCUGGGCUUUACCUGGUUACCCGUCAGCCUCAGGGGCCGCCACAAAUGGGCUCAGAGCUGCCCGCCCUGAGCCCGUCCCUUUCCAAACCUGGGAUCCCAUAUCCUGCCUGUCGCCCUCAUCCCGUUUCUUUAUCCAGAUUAAUCCUCGUCGGAACAAUUCGUUUUCUUCACCAUCGUUCCACUUGAGAACCAUCUAGAAGAUUUAAAAAUAAAUAAGCGUGCAGA